This 249-nucleotide ribosomal RNA is filed under the name uncultured prokaryote. RNAcentral describes it as "partial 16S ribosomal RNA". It matches the Rfam family "Bacterial small subunit ribosomal RNA", at positions 524 to 772 of the family's 1533-position model. The record is from RNAcentral.
UACGGAGGAUGCAAGCGUUAUCCGGAUUCAUUGGGUUUAAAGGGUGCGUAGGCGGCUUAGUAAGUCAGCGGUGAAAUUUUGCAGCUUAACUGUAACAGUGCCGUUGAUACUGCCAGGCUAGGAUUUGGUUGCUGUGGGUGGAAUGUGUGGUGUAGCGGUGAAAUGCUUAGAGAUCACACAGAAUAUCGAUUGCGAAGGCAGCUCACAAAGCCAAGAUUGACGCUGAGGCACGAAAGUGUGGGGAUCAAA